This is a non-coding RNA of Gossypium raimondii (Peruvian cotton), 128 nucleotides long. Lineage: Eukaryota; Viridiplantae; Streptophyta; Magnoliopsida; Malvales; Malvaceae. The record is from Rfam.
UGUUAAAACUUCUAUACAUUUUUACGGUCAAAAAUUGGUGCGACGGACAAACGUUACCUGUUACGUUUACCUCAUUUUGACAUAUAGAAACUAAUUUUUAAUAGUAGAAUUGGAUAGAAUUUUUAACA